Molecule: long non-coding RNA, 277 nt
Filed under: Prunus persica (peach)
Lineage: Eukaryota; Viridiplantae; Streptophyta; Magnoliopsida; Rosales; Rosaceae
Description: long non-coding RNA (PPER_LNC005738)
Source: RNAcentral
UGCAUCUUCAUGUUUUGUACCUCUCCCUCCGCUGUUGUUUUUGUGUUCUUAGUUUCCCUUCAAUAUUUACUUUGUGCUUUCAUUUGAGUGCUUAGUUUAAAGGGAGAUUCACUAUAAUACCUAAGGAUGGCAACGGGCCGGGUAGGGGCUGGGUAUGACAAUACCAUCUCCGUACCCGCUCUCCAUCCCCGCCCCCAUCCCUAAACCUAUACCCGUUUAAUAAGUUUCGGGGAAUCCCCGUCCCCGUUCCCGUCGAGGGACUAUCCCCCAUACCCGC